UGGCAGGCUAGAUUGGGGAGUUAGCCCUUCCUUGUAACCACAAACGGGCUUUAUGGUGGAGUUGAAGCUUUGGAGAGGCAUUUUCAAGAUUUAUUGGCCUUGAUUUGGACAGUGAUAUUCUGUCCCUGUGGACUGACUCAUAUGAGAACCGUGUCAGACUGGGAACAGUGCAGCACUAACUGUAUGAAUUGGUGCUUCAGGGGUAGCGGAAUUGAGAAAAAAUUGAGAUCCUCCGAUGAGUUUUGUUAGUGUCCAUCUGAGGUGUGCCUGCCG
RNAcentral lists this signal recognition particle RNA (273 nucleotides) under Candidatus Woesearchaeota archaeon. Its description in RNAcentral is "signal recognition particle sRNA". It matches the Rfam family "Archaeal signal recognition particle RNA". Lineage: Archaea; Nanobdellati; Candidatus Woesearchaeota. The record is from RNAcentral.